AAGUUAAAAUUUUUAGAGAAAGCUUUAAAUAUCAUUUCUGUAGUUUCGCACUUUCUCACUUUAGUACCCAGCAAUUUAAAGUGUAUUAAUUUAGCAUUCUAUGAUUUUAUUUUUAUCUUUUUAUUAUCGAUUCUACUAAUUUUUUUCGUUAAAUCAGUGACAAAGUUAAAACUAAAGGGUACUAAAGUGAAUAUUCGAUAUAUAUCUGAAGUUUUUUAUAUAUAAUUUAACGAAAUAUUAACGAAAAAGCUGACGAAAAGAUAAAAAUGAAACCACAUGAUACUAGCUUGAUACAAUUGAAGCCACAAGGUACUAAACUGAGAACGUGCGAAAUCACAGGAGUGGUAUUUGAAGUUUAUCCUAAAAUUUUAAUUUGGAGUGCAUAGGAUAUAUCACAAACUAAUUAUAUAUCCCUGAAGGACCUAAAUAGGAGUAAUCAGGAGUAAUAUAGAAUACUAAAAGACCUAAUCAGGAGUAAUAUAAUAAUUUUAUAUUAAAAUAAUACUUUGUAAGAAAAAAUAUUUAUUCUGGUACUUACGUAUAGGGACGGCAAUCCAGCUAGUUGUUUCCGAUUCAGCUCAUGUUCGGCUCAAAAUAAGCUCGACAUCGAAUCACUCGUUUAGUAAACGAGCUGAAGUACGAGCUGAAAUUUUCAGUUUGUUUAAUAAACAAGCUGAACACGAGUUUGGGUCAGCUCACUGGCGUUCUCGAAUACAUAUAUUUUAUAUUUAUAUAUAUAAAUAAAUAAUUAUAUAUGUAUAUAAUAUAAACUUUUAUUAUUUGAUUUUUAGCCCAACUUAAAUAUAAAAUCAACUUAAUUAUAAAAUGGUUCAUUUAUAUAUAAAAUUUCAACAGUAUAACGGGUAAAAUUUUAUAAAUUUAUUUUCUAUAUAUAUUCUUUCAAAUUUUUUUAAAUUCUUAUUUAUAAGCUAGCUCGUACUCGGCUCGACAAUUUAACAACUUAGCUCGUGUUCGGCUCGUUUAUAUCCUACAACGUGAAGAUAUUUAUUUAAAUAUUAUUUUUUUUAUGUAAAAUUAGUGUGAUAAAAAAGAGUUUGUCGCCUAGUAUAGUAGGAAAGUGAAGUUGAAAAGACA
Molecule: long non-coding RNA, 1095 nt
Filed under: Ananas comosus (pineapple)
Lineage: Eukaryota; Viridiplantae; Streptophyta; Magnoliopsida; Poales; Bromeliaceae
Description: long non-coding RNA (ACOM_LNC002856)
Source: RNAcentral